GGCCUUGUAGUGAAGUUCACGGUGAGUUGCAAACUCAUUAAUGUACAUUAGACGUGUAUCAGGGUCU
This 67-nucleotide transfer RNA is filed under the name Chrysuronia brevirostris. RNAcentral's name for it is "tRNA-Cys". The record is from RNAcentral. Lineage: Eukaryota; Metazoa; Chordata; Aves; Apodiformes; Trochilidae.